This 465-nucleotide ribosomal RNA is filed under the name uncultured Klebsiella sp. Its description in RNAcentral is "bacterial SSU rRNA". It matches the Rfam family "Bacterial small subunit ribosomal RNA", at positions 338 to 795 of the family's 1533-position model. Lineage: Bacteria; Pseudomonadati; Pseudomonadota; Gammaproteobacteria; Enterobacterales; Enterobacteriaceae. The record is from RNAcentral.
CCUACGGGUGGCUGCAGUGGGGAAUAUUGCACAAUGGGCGCAAGCCUGAUGCAGCCAUGCCGCGUGUGUGAAGAAGGCCUUCGGGUUGUAAAGCACUUUCAGCGGGGAGGAAGGCGUUAAGGUUAAUAACCUUGGCGAUUGACGUUACCCGCAGAAGAAGCACCGGCUAACUCCGUGCCAGCAGCCGCGGUAAUACGGAGGGUGCAAGCGUUAAUCGGAAUUACUGGGCGUAAAGCGCACGCAGGCGGUCUGUCAAGUCGGAUGUGAAAUCCCCGGGCUCAACCUGGGAACUGCAUUCGAAACUGGCAGGCUAGAGUCUUGUAGAGGGGGGUAGAAUUCCAGGUGUAGCGGUGAAAUGCGUAGAGAUCUGGAGGAAUACCGGUGGCGAAGGCGGCCCCCUGGACAAAGACUGACGCUCAGGUGCGAGAGCGUGGGGAGCAAACAGGAUUAGAUACCCUAGUAGUC